Long non-coding RNA from Bos taurus (domestic cattle), 576 nucleotides. NCBI's taxonomy places the organism in Eukaryota, Metazoa, Chordata, Mammalia, Artiodactyla, Bovidae. The record is from Ensembl.
AUGCACAUCAGUGAACACCAGCACAGUGAAAGCUUCUGGGAAACAAAAUCAAAGCAAGUUUCAGCUGAGAAGAUAUUGAGUGUCUGUUUUCACAGAACUUCAGCCCAAGAAUUGCAGAAAAUUCUGCCUCCUUAGCACAUAGAGGAAGCUACUCUCUUAUUGGUACCCUACAUCUGCCUCCAGGACAACUAAAGAUUAAGGAGAUCCUUGGACACCUGAUGAGAUUUGUGAGUUGAACUCAGCAUGCUUGAGCAUCUCAGUUUGGAACACUAAAAGCAGACACUUGUGCUGUAUGUACAGAGUACAAUAAAGCCGAAAUCAAUCUAAGGUGACUAUAAGCAUGCGAGAUCUUCAGUUGUAGCGUGUGGGAUUUAGUUCUCUGACCAGGGAUUGAAUCUAGUCUGCAUUGGGAGCGUGAAGUCUUAGCCACUGAACCACGAGGGACAUUCCUAAAAUGUUAUUUGUGGGUGUGUCUGUAAGAGUGUCUCUGGGAGAGGGGGACUGGCAUUUGAUAGACUGAAUAAAGAUUUCUCUCAACAAUGCAGGAGAGCAUCAUCCAACCAUGCAAGCUAAUUC